Acinonyx jubatus (cheetah) is the source of this 1729-nucleotide RNA transcript. It is a transcript of the gene named derlin 3, with no coding region annotated. Lineage: Eukaryota; Metazoa; Chordata; Mammalia; Carnivora; Felidae. The record is from RefSeq and is a predicted model, not a curated record. The transcript has 9 exons.
AGGCGGGAUUGGGAGGAGGGUUAAAGAGCGCGCAGCAGGUUGGGCCACGAGUGUCAAAGAAGGUUCAAUGGCGUGGCAGGGACUGGCGGCCGAGUUCCUGCAGGUGCCAGCGGUUACGCGGACCUACACCUCGGCCUGUGUCCUUACCACCGCAGCUGUGCAACUGGAGCUCCUCAGCCCCUUCCAGCUCUAUUUCAACCCGCACCUCGUGUUCCGGAAGUUUCAGGUCUGGAGGCUCGUCACCAACUUCCUCUUCUUUGGGCCCCUGGGAUUCAGCUUCUUCUUCAACAUGCUCUUCGUGUUUCGCUACUGCCGCAUGCUGGAGGAGGGCUCCUUCCGUGGCCGCACGGCCGACUUCGUCUUCAUGUUUCUCUUCGGGGGCGUCCUCAUGACCCUGCUGGGGCUCCUGGGCAGCCUGUUCUUCUUGGGCCAGGCCCUCACUGUCAUGCUGGUGUAUGUCUGGAGUCGCCGCAACCCCCGAGUGAGGGUCAACUUCUUUGGCCUCCUCACCUUCCAGGCACCAUUUCUGCCCUGGGCACUCAUGGGUUUCUCACUGCUGCUGGGCAACUCAAUCCUUGUCGACCUGCUGGGGAUUGCUGUGGGCCACGUUUACUACUUCCUAGAGGAUGUUUUCCCCAACCAGCCUGGAGGCAAGAGGUUGCUGCUGACCCCCAGUUUCCUGCCUUCCAGUGAAGCCCAGGUGUCCCCUUGCUGUGGGGCUCCAACAAGUUCCACUCCUGGAUGAAGGGCAGGGGGCUUGAGUACAAACUCCCCGGGAGCCAGGAGCCAUCACGUCCCAGGACAUGAUCACAGGACCCCAAGCCCAGAGGGCUAGGAUGGCCCCGGCCUGCCCCUUUGCCUCCCUCCUUGCCAGAAGAUGAAGGAGAGGCGGUCCGAUCUUCUCAAUGCUCCGUGGGAGCCAUGCGCAGACGGGCUGGUUACCAAGCUGGGGCCGUGUUGGCAAGACGCCUCAUACGCCUGCAGGAGGAGAGGAGGUGAUGACCCGGAGCCAGCUUCCAGCCCUGGGUGACUGCCCUCCCCUAGGGAUCUCUAGCACAGCCAAGGGAGCGGGGACGGAAACAGGAUACAAAAGGUGGGAUCCCCAGCCCCUCCCUCGGCCAGAGCCUGUCCCCUGCUUGACGCCCUGACAAUGCUCUCUCUCCUGCCUGCUCAUGUCUUGCCUAUGUCUCCAGGGUUCUAGACACAUAGGUCUGGGCUGUGGUCAGAUCCAACCUGAGGGCUUAACUUUUGUUCCCUGAAGGAAAACCCACCUGGGGUCUAGAUUGGGACUCAUCACCCAGGGCCUGCCUCUGGCCAUGCAGGUACCUUCCCAGAACCAGGGUCCCUCCCCUGCCUGCAAGACAGUGGCUGUGUGCAGAGCAAGCUGCAAGGAGCCUGAAGGGGGAGGGGUACCUUGUGUUCCUGUCCUGGUCUCGGAUCUUCUUUUCCAUCUCAGCGUCUGUCAGAGUCUCCAGCAGUGGGCACCAUUGGUCAGCAUCGCCUGUGUUCCGGAUGGCAAUCUCCACCGUGGCCAGGCGGCCUGCACCUGUCUCUCAAGGCCCAGCACCCCCAGAAGGCUGACCCUGCUCCACUGCAGCCCUAUCAAGUGUCUGCCCACCUCAGCCUGGAGCCCUGCACAGCACAGUUCCCUCUGAGAAGAAUGAAGGCAGGCAGGGCCCAGGGGAGGCAGGGGAGGACACUGACAAAAUAAAAGAGGAUGGACCCCUGA